UACAGAGGGUGCGAGCGUUAAUCGGAAUUACUGGGCGUAAAGCGCGCGUAGGCGGCUUUUCAAGUCGAUUGUGAAAUCCCCGGGCUUAACCUGGGAACUGCAGUCGAGACUGUCUAGCUAGAGUAUGGGAGAGGGAAGUGGAAUUUCAGGUGUAGCGGUGAAAUGCGUAGAUAUCUGUAGGAACAUCAGUGGCGAAAGCGACUUCCUGGACCAAUACUGACGCUCAUGUGCGAAAGCGUGGGGAGCAAACAGG
Molecule: ribosomal RNA, 253 nt
Filed under: uncultured bacterium
Lineage: Bacteria
Description: partial 16S ribosomal RNA
Rfam family: Bacterial small subunit ribosomal RNA
Source: RNAcentral